This 185-nucleotide non-coding RNA is filed under the name Rhodococcus (subgen. Prescottella) equi. RNAcentral also lists the same sequence under 1 other name. Lineage: Bacteria; Bacillati; Actinomycetota; Actinomycetes; Mycobacteriales; Nocardiaceae. The record is from RNAcentral.
UCUUCACGAUGUCGUCACGGUGUUCGGGAAGUCCGGUAGAAGCCGGCGCGGUACUCGCCACUGUGGGCAGGUACGUCGACUACUAGGGGUUCGACCCCAGCCACUGGAUGCUCACGCAUCCGGGAAGGCGUAGUCGGCGGUCAUCCCUGCCGAGCCAGGAGACCGGCCGUGACGCAUACCUGCAC